RNAcentral lists this long non-coding RNA (1650 nucleotides) under Neodiprion lecontei (redheaded pine sawfly). Its description in RNAcentral is "uncharacterized LOC124292919, transcript variant X1". The record is from RNAcentral. Lineage: Eukaryota; Metazoa; Arthropoda; Insecta; Hymenoptera; Diprionidae.
GGAAGCUUGGGCUUCCCAGAAAAACGUGUAAAUAUAUAGUCGACGAUAUUUUAUCAGCCGUAAGACAUACACGUGCUGGAAGGAAAACAUAAAGAAAUACAUUACCUUAUUUCACAGGAUCACAUUGCUGUUUGGCUUGGUGUCCAGAAGAUGUAAGAAUAUUGAUUGAGACUUGCAAUCGUCGCGUUGAAUUGAUUGAUGUUGAACCCGGAAAAUAUUGGCAUGUGUCUAUUAUGGGAAGGGUAAGCCGAAAGAUCCGAACAAUUUCUUUAAAAUGUUCACAAAUGAAGUCCAAGAGGUUUUCGCCAGCGGUGGUAUCCACUUCAAGAAUCAUUUAGUAAAAAUAAAGUUCAGAUGCUUCAUAGCUGAUGCUCCGGAUUGAUUCCUUGGAGGUAUUCCAAGAGUUUGAAGAAGAUUCUGAAAGACAACGAUCUCUAAGACACUAUCUUAUUAACGUUGGUGGUGUCACAGCUAGAGAUGCUCUCAACCAAUUUCUGAAGGAAGCCAUGACGGAUAGCCUGACCCAAAAAUUCUCUUGGACUGAAAAGUCUGUUUCAGAUAAAGAGAAUCUCCGACCGUUAUUUAAUACCUGUAUCGGAAAGGUAUUUUUUGAUGCCUUACGUAAGUGUCGAACAAUACCACAGCCACAUGAUUGUACAGAAUUUGCGAGACUGAUGCAAGAGGCAAUUCGGGGCGUACAAAAAAGAUUGCGGGAUGCAAAACGACGGGCCAAUCGCUCUGUCCAUAUGGAGGGUCGCAGACAAAAAUAUAUGAUUGAAAUGGCUCAUCGUUACAAGAUUGAACACCCAGGACAAUGACACUGCGGAAUAAGAGACCCACAAUUUGCCUAUUAAAGAUCCUACGGGUAUUCAAACAUACGUACCUAUGUACUUUGUUUGACUAAGAAAUAUUUUAUUACACAUAGCUGUGAUGUUAGUUUUUAUGUUUAUGCUCAAGCAUAGUAUUUAUAAUUGGUACUGCAGCUGUGAUAUCCACAAGUGAUAUGUAACUAUGUUUUCCAAUGAAACAUUAUACCUAUAUCAACAAAUGUGGCGGGUUUGUACUAACAUAGCUAUAAAAUAGCUAACAUUUAGAUACUGUAGACGCUUUUGGUAUCUGGUAUAAAUUUUAGUCUUCUGACAUUUAUAUAAAGUAUUAAUUUUUAUUUUUUGAUUUCAAAUACUUCAUUAUUAUCUACUAUUCUAUUCAUUUGAUAUCAGUUUAUCAAUACUAUUAUAAACUGUAGUUAAUAAUUUUAAGCUACAACGUAUAAAAAAGUAACUAAAGACAUAUUUAUAUUAAUAACUGUACAACGGUAGAAGAGACCCUCUCUUCUAGUCUUGUUGCAGACAUAGAUUUGUAAGUCAGUAUUUUUCUUGUUCAUUUUUGCUCGCGAGUAACUGUAACACUUUUAUAACUAAUUAUCUUUAAGUAAAAGUAAAAUAUAUGCAAACUUAUAUUAUACCUAUAGAUGUAUAUGGGUGUAAUAUAUCAUAUAUUUUACUAUAGCCGCAUAUUAAUAAUAUAUAAUAUAAAUAUUAUUAUAAUUAUAUAGUAUAACGAUUAUAGUCAACGAAUGACCUGCCAUGUUCUGUGAUUUUGAACAUUAUCUCUCUAUCUAAUAAAGAAGUUUCAAACAAAUGAACAGGU